AUUGAACGCUGGCGGCAGGCCUAACACAUGCAAGUCGAGCGGAUGAAGGGAGCUUGCUCUUGGAUUCAGUGGCGGACGGGUGAGUAAGGCCUAGGAAUCUGCCUGGUAGUGGGGGAUAACGUCCGUAAACGGGCGCUAAUAUCGCAUACGUCCUGAGGGUGAAAGUGGGGGUUCUUAGGUCCUCGCGCUAUCAGAUGAGCCUAGUUCGCAUUAGCUAGUUGGUGGGGUAAAGGCCUACCAAGGCGACGAUCCGUAACUGGUCUGAGAGGAUGAUCAGUCACACUGGAACUGAGACACGGUCCAGACUCCUACGGGAGGCAGCAGUAGGGAAUCUUGCGCAAUGGGCGAAGGCCUGACCCAGCCAUGCCGCGUGAGUGAAGAAGGUCUUCGGAUUGUAAAGCUCUUUAAGUUGGGAGGAAGAUAAGUAUGUUAAAAUCUUGCUGUUUUGACGUUACCAACAGAGUAAGCACCGGCUAACUUCGUG
RNAcentral lists this ribosomal RNA (484 nucleotides) under uncultured bacterium. RNAcentral describes it as "partial 16S ribosomal RNA". It matches the Rfam family "Bacterial small subunit ribosomal RNA", at positions 30 to 507 of the family's 1533-position model. The record is from RNAcentral.